AAAGGAAAACCUAUUUAAUNAAAUUUAAGUGUAUAAAAGNUUUAUAGUAUAAAUUUAUUUUGUUGGGGUGAUAAAAGUAAAAUUUUUACUAACUGCUUAAAUAAUAAAACAUUAAUAAUUGAAAUAAGUUAAUAAAAGAUCCUAAAUAAAGAUUAAAAGUUUAAGUU
This 167-nucleotide ribosomal RNA is filed under the name Macrophthalmus convexus. RNAcentral's name for it is "partial 16S ribosomal RNA". The record is from RNAcentral. Lineage: Eukaryota; Metazoa; Arthropoda; Malacostraca; Decapoda; Macrophthalmidae.